UUUCCGUAGGUGAACCUGCGGAAGGAUCAUUACUGAGUGAGGGCCCCUCGGGGUCCAACCUCCCACCCGUGUUUAACGAACCUUGUUGCUUCGGCGGGCCCGCCUCACGGCCGCCGGGGGGCAUCUGCCCCCGGGCCCGCGCCCGCCGAAGCCACCUGUGAACGCUGUCUGAAGUAUGCAAUCUGAGACAAUUAUUAAAUUAAUUAAAACUUUCAACAACGGAUCUCUUGGUUCCG
RNAcentral lists this unclassified non-coding RNA (236 nucleotides) under plant metagenome. Its description in RNAcentral is "partial contains small subunit ribosomal RNA, internal transcribed spacer 1, and 5.8S ribosomal RNA". The record is from RNAcentral.